UACGUAGGUCCCGAGCGUUGUCCGGAUUUAUUGGGCGUAAAGCGAGCGCAGGUGGUUUAUUAAGUCUGGUGUAAGAGGCAGUGGCUCAACCAUUGUAUGCAUUGGAAACUGGUAGACUUGAGUGCAGGAGAGGAGAGUGGAAUUCCAUGUGUAGCGGUGAAAUGCGUAGAUAUAUGGAGGAACACCGGUGUCGAAAGCGGCUCUCUGGCCUGUAACUGACACUGAGGCUCGAAAGCGUGGGGAGCAAACAGG
RNAcentral lists this ribosomal RNA (252 nucleotides) under uncultured bacterium. Its description in RNAcentral is "partial 16S ribosomal RNA". It matches the Rfam family "Bacterial small subunit ribosomal RNA", at positions 524 to 776 of the family's 1533-position model. The record is from RNAcentral.